AAAAUCGCUUAUGUAAAAGAAAUAAUAUGUAUUUUAUUUUUGAGUGAAUUCACUGAAAUAGAAUGUGAAGUGGUCUUUUUUCAUAAAAGCCCAAUAGGCGAUGACCUCAAUCAUCAAAACUCAUUAUCAUAACCGUUACCAUCAAAGACGAUUACCAUUACAAAUACGCAAACCUAUUCUAUAAAUGGAUUCGGAUCCUCUGCUGCUUUGCUUUUCCCUAACAUGAUCUGCUUGACUUUUAUUCUCAACACACCAACUCAUUACAAUUUGAUCUAAAGAGUUUAAAAUUUGACAUAUAUCUUUAAAACAAAAACCCAAUUUACUACAAAUUUAAAAACAAACCAAAAAAAACCCUAACCCAACUAACGACCUCUACAAGAUUUCCUUUCCCAAAACCUCUGUAAUCUCUUCUCUUUCCUUUCUACAAGAUAAAAAAAAUAACUUCCCAUAUCCAUGAAGAGGGUGGUUUCAAAAACCCCCAAAAAAAAAAAAGAAGGUAUUCUUGCCUUUCGUUUGGAUGAG
Molecule: long non-coding RNA, 522 nt
Filed under: Prunus dulcis (almond)
Lineage: Eukaryota; Viridiplantae; Streptophyta; Magnoliopsida; Rosales; Rosaceae
Description: sRNA ncRNA
Source: RNAcentral